RNAcentral lists this ribosomal RNA (419 nucleotides) under bacterium. RNAcentral's name for it is "partial 16S ribosomal RNA". It matches the Rfam family "Bacterial small subunit ribosomal RNA", at positions 355 to 776 of the family's 1533-position model. The record is from RNAcentral.
UGGGGGAUAUUGCACAAUGGGCGAAAGCCUGAUGCAGCGACGCCGCGUGGGGGAUGAAGGCCUUCGGGUUGUAAACUUCUUUUGCUCUGAACAAGGCGCACCAUGGGGUGUGUUGAGUGUAGGGGUUGAUUAGCGCCGGCUAACUACGUGCCAGCAGCCGCGGUAAUACGUAGGGCGCGAGCGUUGUCCGGAAUUAUUGGGCGUAAAGGGCUUGUAGGUGGCUGGUUGCGUCUGUCGUGAAAGCUCAUGGCUUAACUGUGGGUUUGCGGUGGGUACGGGCUGGCUUGAGUGCAGUAGGGGAGGCUGGAAUUCCUGGUGUAGCGGUGGAAUGCGCAGAUAUCAGGAGGAAUACCGGUGGCGAAGGCGGGUCUCUGGGCUGUUACUGACACUGAGGAACGAAAGCAUGGGGAGCGAACAGG